Molecule: ribosomal RNA, 253 nt
Filed under: uncultured bacterium
Lineage: Bacteria
Description: partial 16S ribosomal RNA
Rfam family: Bacterial small subunit ribosomal RNA
Source: RNAcentral
UACGUAGGGGGCAAGCGUUGUCCGGAAUCAUUGGGCGUAAAGCGCGUGUAGGCGGCCCGAUAAGUCCGCUGUGAAAGUCCAGGGCUCAACCCUGGAAUGCCGGUGGAUACUGUCGGGCUCGAGUCCGGAAGAGGCGAGUGGAAUUCCUGGUGUAGCGGUGAAAUGCGCAGAUAUCAGGAGGAACACCAAUGGCGAAGGCAGCACUCUGGGACGUGACUGACGCUGAGACGCGAAAGCGUGGGGAGCAAACAGG